AACUAGAGAUUUGGACUACUUUUUCUGG
Molecule: non-coding RNA, 28 nt
Filed under: Rattus norvegicus (Norway rat)
Lineage: Eukaryota; Metazoa; Chordata; Mammalia; Rodentia; Muridae
Source: RNAcentral